CAGGCGGUUCUUUAAGUCUGAUGUGAAAGCCCCCGGCUCAACCCGGGGAGGGUCAUUGGAAACUGGGGAACUUGAGUGCAGAAGAGGAGAGUGGAAUUCCACGUGUAGCGGUGAAAUGCGUAGAGAUGUGGAGGAACACCAGUGGCGAAGGCGACUCUCUGGUCUGUAACUGACGCUGAGGAGCGAAAGCGUGGGGAGCGAACAGGAUUAGAUACCCUGGUAGUCCACGCCGUAAACGAUGAGUGCUAAGUGUUAGGGGGUUUCCGCCCCUUAGUGCUGCAGCUAACGCAUUAAGCACUCCGCCUGGGGAGUACGGUCGCAAGACUGAAACUCAAAGGAAUUGACGGGGGCCCGCACAAGCGGUGGAGCAUGUGGUUUAAUUUGAAGCAACGCGAAGAACCUUACCAGGUCUUGACAUCCUUUGACAAUCCUAGAGAUAGGACGUCCCCUUCGGGGGCAGAGUGACAGGUGGUGCAUGGUUGUCGUCAGCUCGUGUCGUGAGAUGUUGGGUUAAGUCCCGCAACGAGCGCAACCCUUGAUUUUAGUUGCCAGCAUUCAGUUGGGCACUUUAAGGUGACUGCCGGUGACAAACCGGAGGAAGGUGGGGAUGACGUCAAAUCAUCAUGCCCCUUAUGACCUGGGCUACACACGUGCUACAAUGGACAGAACAAAGGGCAGCGAAACCGCGAGGUUAAGCCAAUCCCACAAAUCUGUUUUCAGUUCGGAUCGCAGUUUGCAACUUGACUGCGUGAAGCUGGAAUCGCUAGUAAUCGCGGAUCAGCAUGCCGCGGUGAAUACGUUCCCGGGCCUUGUACACACCGCCCGUCACACCCCGAGAGUUUGUAACACCCGAAGUCGGUGAGGUAACCUUUAUGGAGCCAGCCGCCGAAGGUGGGACAGAUGAUUGGGGUGAAGUCGUAACAAGGUAGCCGUAUCGGAA
Molecule: ribosomal RNA, 940 nt
Filed under: Bacillus subtilis
Lineage: Bacteria; Bacillati; Bacillota; Bacilli; Caryophanales; Bacillaceae
Description: bacterial SSU rRNA
Rfam family: Bacterial small subunit ribosomal RNA
Source: RNAcentral